This 96-nucleotide ribosomal RNA is filed under the name uncultured bacterium. RNAcentral describes it as "partial 16S ribosomal RNA". It matches the Rfam family "Bacterial small subunit ribosomal RNA", at positions 395 to 508 of the family's 1533-position model. The record is from RNAcentral.
UGCCGCGUGAGUGACGAAGGCCUUAGGGUUGUAAAGCUCUUUUGGCGGGGAAGAUAAUGACGGUACCCGCAGAAUAAGCUCCGGCUAACUUCGUGC